Molecule: long non-coding RNA, 498 nt
Organism: Triticum dicoccoides
Lineage: Eukaryota; Viridiplantae; Streptophyta; Magnoliopsida; Poales; Poaceae
Exons: 2
Source: RefSeq, a predicted model, not a curated record
GCGGCGCCAUGGUUGGUGAUGGCGUUGAAGUUUCAGCCCGUGCUGCUCGGUGGCAGUGGUGGCCUCGGCUGUGUGGUGAACUCUCUGGGUUCCUCGAGGCAGUGAUGCGGGGCUGCACCGCUCUGCGCCGGCAAUAGCGGUCUACGACGGCGUCACGAAUGAAGAUGCAUGAUUAUGUGCUUCAGAAUGAAGAUGCAUGAUUAUGUGUUUCAGGAGCUGCUAGUCGUACCAUAGAAGCAAUGAAUGAACCUCUUCUCGCUAUUUUCAUUUCAAGUGCAAUAAUCUGCUGGAGGUGUUUUCCAUUCAGACAAGUGAAGUUUUGCACCCUGCAAGUGUGCAUAUGUAUUCUGGAAGAAGAAAAGCAUACCCAGUAAGAUGCAAUCCUUGCCAUUUUACUGAGCAAGUUCAUUCAUAUUAUUUUUAGGUCCUCCUUGACAAUGUAUUUGAUCAAUUGUCUAAAAAAUUCCUGGAUUGUGAGAGUAAAAUAAAGUACGUUCA